RNAcentral lists this transfer RNA (69 nucleotides) under Cucumaria miniata. RNAcentral describes it as "tRNA-Gly". Lineage: Eukaryota; Metazoa; Echinodermata; Holothuroidea; Dendrochirotida; Cucumariidae. The record is from RNAcentral.
ACGUUAUUAGUAUAGAAAUAUAUCUAGCUUCCAACUAGAAGACCUUGGCCACUAACCCAAGAUUACGUA